UACGUAGGGUCCGAGCGUUGUCCGGAAUUAUUGGGCGUAAAGAGCUCGUAGGCGGUUUGUCGCGUCUGCUGUGAAAUCCCGAGGCUCAACCUCGGGCCUGCAGUGGGUACGGGCAGACUGGAGUGCGGUAGGGGAGAAUGGAAUUCCUGGUGUAGCGGUGGAAUGCGCGGAUAUCAGGAGGAACACCGAUGGCGAAGGCAGUUCUCUGGGCCGUAACUGACGCUGAGGAGCGAAAGCGUGGGGAGCGAACAGG
This 253-nucleotide ribosomal RNA is filed under the name uncultured bacterium. RNAcentral describes it as "partial 16S ribosomal RNA". It matches the Rfam family "Bacterial small subunit ribosomal RNA", at positions 524 to 776 of the family's 1533-position model. The record is from RNAcentral.